RNAcentral lists this small RNA (46 nucleotides) under Arabidopsis thaliana (thale cress). Its description in RNAcentral is "ATSL008090". The record is from RNAcentral. Lineage: Eukaryota; Viridiplantae; Streptophyta; Magnoliopsida; Brassicales; Brassicaceae.
ACUGAUUCAAGCCACGAAGAAGAAAGAAGACGCGGUUAUAGAAGCU